Molecule: ribosomal RNA, 448 nt
Filed under: Vitreorana uranoscopa (Humboldt's glass frog)
Lineage: Eukaryota; Metazoa; Chordata; Amphibia; Anura; Centrolenidae
Description: partial 16S ribosomal RNA
Rfam family: Bacterial large subunit ribosomal RNA
Source: RNAcentral
AAGACCGUGCGAAGGUAGCGUAAUCACUUGUUCUUUAAAUAAGGACUAGUAUGAAUGGCAUCACGAAGGUUACACUGUCUCCUUUUUCUAAUCAGUGAAACUAAUCUCCCCGUGAAGAAGCGGGGAUAAGUAUAUAAGACGAGAAGACCCUAUGGAGCUUUAAACCAUGCGACACUUGCACAAUUUUCCACAAAUUUCAGAAAAAUCCAUGCUACUCAUGCAAGAUGAUCACCAGUUUUAGGUUGGGGUGACCGCGGAGCAAAAAACAGCCUCCACAUUGAAAGGAACUUACUCCUUAGCUAAGAGCCACACCUCCAUGCACCAAUACAAUGACAUUAAUUGACCCAAUAAUUUGAUCAACGAACCAAGUUACCCUAGGGAUAACAGCGCAAUCUACUUCAAGAGCUCCUAUCGACAAGUGGGUUUACGACCUCGAUGUUGGAUCAGG